RNAcentral lists this transfer RNA (77 nucleotides) under Gammaproteobacteria bacterium. RNAcentral's name for it is "tRNA-Pro". It matches the Rfam family "tRNA". Rfam says of the family: Transfer RNA (tRNA) molecules are approximately 80 nucleotides in length. The record is from RNAcentral. Lineage: Bacteria; Pseudomonadati; Pseudomonadota; Gammaproteobacteria.
CGGGAUGUGGCGCAGUUUGGUAGCGCACAUGACUGGGGGUCAUGUGGUCGCCGGUUCGAAUCCGGCCAUCCCGACCA